RNAcentral lists this long non-coding RNA (4369 nucleotides) under Ananas comosus (pineapple). RNAcentral's name for it is "long non-coding RNA (ACOM_LNC019417)". The record is from RNAcentral. Lineage: Eukaryota; Viridiplantae; Streptophyta; Magnoliopsida; Poales; Bromeliaceae.
AAAUAUUUAAAAGCCUAUCCAUCCAUCUACACAUCAUUUUCAGUUAUUCCUUCUUUUUUAAAUUAAAAGAGCAUCAUUCUUUCAUGUUUAAUUAAAAGAGCAUCUUGUAGUUUAAGGCAUAUAAUAGCUAAAAAAAAAUGAUGGUUUUCAAAAUUAUAUAUGGCGUAGUAGUUAUUCUAGAAAAGGAUGGUUUUCAAAAUUAUAUAUAGCGUAGUAGUUAUUACUAGAGUAUUGGAUUACAAAAAUAUUAUUUAAUAGAAUUUCAGUUAUAAAAAUAUUUUUUUUUCUAUAUUUACAAAUAGUUUGAGAAUAGCGUGUUUUCAUAAGGAUAAACUUUACGGGUGACAACUGAUAGUAUUUAAGUAGGUUAAAAAUAUUUUUCUCCAAAAAAAGUUGUUAAAAAUAGUAAUUCUACUUUAUUCUCAGAGAUAAAAAAUUUAGUUCAAUACUAGUUUCAAUCGUUUGUUAAGACAUACGAUAAAUUUUUGAAUAAUUCAUAAAUGAGAUAAGAAAAGAGACUAAAUAAUAACCCCACAUCGUCACUAGCAAAAUCCAAAGGAAAGCACUACAAGAGAAUUAAGUUAUAGCUUCAUAUUUUUGGAACACUUUUGUAUAAAUGUUCGUCCAAAAUUUUUUUAAAAAAAUAUACCUACUAAAGCCCAAAUAUAAGGCCCAGCCCACUUAAAAAUAUAUUAACCUGCUUGACCCAACCACCCAACCUAAUCAGCCCAAAGAAAAAACCGAUCUCUACCUCGUCUCCCCUCUCUCCGACCCCUAAAACCGUAGACGUAGAUCCCCUCGCUCUCCUCCUCCGCCGCCGCCGUCGCAGCCGAUGAGGGAGGGAUCCGGCGGCCAGAGUUCAGCUGUGAGGAUCGCACGGAAACCGUAAAGGUCUAUGAUCGUCAUGUAUCCCUCCGCCACAAGUCGCCGGAGGAGUGGGCGCCAAACGUCGAGGCGGCGGCGGGCAGGAGGAGUCCGGCGUCCGCCUCCUGGCUGUGCUCGCGGUGGCGCUGAAGGUGCAAAAGGAGGAGAUGAAGAAGAAGGUGAGAUCGAUCAGUGCUAGGGUUUCUUGUUCAUGAGGAUUUAGGGUUAAUCUCUUGUGAGAAUCCCUUUGUGCGUGAAUCGCUUUGCUUGGUAUCGUAUAAAUUAAGGCUUAUAGAUGAUCUUUGAUUAAGCUUUUGGAAUUGCUCUAGUGCUUGUUUAAUUUACACAGUCCUCUUUAAGCUCUUAGCCAUUGUUAUAAUGGCAUUACGUUGAGAACCUUGAUUGGGGAUUUGUUGAAAUUAACAGCCCUGUUAAAAAAAAGCGUUUAAAACAGUCAAAAUUUAAUAGAAUCACUCUUAAAUUUAACAGCUGUUUGUGAUGUCUUCUAGAAUAUGUAUUAGCGCGAUUCAUAACAAAAAGGGAACCUGGCAUUGCUCUAGUGAUGCAAGUUCAGAGGAAAGGUAAGCUUAUCAAGUACCAGUCAAUAGCUGUUUUAACUGUUAGUUGUCUGACAAUAUUUAGAGAUAAUAUAUCUGAGAAUUGACAAUUUUAUCAGUCGAUGUCUUACAGCAGCCUCUUGUUAUUAGGCAUGUUUUGAUCACUAUAUCUUUAUGUAUGAUACAUAGUCAUCAUAAUUUUAUUUCUCUCAUUCUUGUGCACUGUGGCUCAGUUUCUUGUGGACUGUUCAGGUUUUUCUAAUGUAUUGUGCAAUGAUUGAGCCAAAUAUAUCAAGUAUGAUCCGUUGUUUCUCAUUUAUACUUCUACUUUAUUACUUGACCUGGAAAAUAUUUUUAACAUUAAUCAUUCUAAGAAUUUAAUUCUAGCUAGAGUGAAUGGUAGUCAUAUCUUUUACUCUUUAUUCCUUGAUCUGUUUUUGUCACAACUGCACCCUAAUUAUAGUAAACAGAGGAAAUGUCAAAGCUAGAUGUUGGCAGUAUGUUUCAAUUUGCAUUGUAGCGUUUUGACUUCUGUUAAGUGUUAAAAUCUAUGAUUCAAAUUUAAAUGCUUUACAGAUGGGAAGUUAGUUCUUGUGCGAUGGACUCUCUGUACGAUCUAAACCUCAUAUCAAAAGUAGUUCCAAUGUUUUUGGACAACUCCAAGGUGUGGCACUAAAUACUGUCAACAAGUAUGAAACUAGAAAAGAGAGGGGUGGCUCACGUGGAAGGAGUCAGCAGAUUUGAUCUCAAAGAAAAUAGCAUGUACUCAAAUGUACUCCUAAUAAAUCACACUGCAAGUCCUCUGGCAUGGUAAAAUUUAUUGUUAUUAUUUCAUUAAUAACCUUUCAUUCUUUCUACUUGUCAGAUUUAAUAUCUAGGAUGCAUUUCUUUUGCUCGUAAAUAUCAAAAUCGAUGAAAUAUGGACAAAUUUGCUAGGUGAAUGUUUGUAACAUCAAGUGCUAGUCUUGAUCAUGAUAACCAUCCAGUUUUAUGGAGUGCAAGGAUAGAGCCAAUCACAGCUCUGUUUUGCUGCCACACUCCUUUGCCAACCAAAGCAGCUGAAAGAGUGCAAAAUGUGGCAGAUAAAGUAUGUCUUCUUCAGCUUUUUCUUUUUUUCCCCCUUUAAUUUCAUGCCUGUUGAAAGUGUGACUUUCUCUCUUGUCCUGGAAUAUAUGCGGAUUAUUCUUCCAGCUGUUGUCAGUUGUUUCUUGUUUUUGAUUUGGAACUUUUGAUUAUCCAGCUCUUCCAAUUUUCAUGAUAGACAGGAUGUACACUUCUGUCAUGAUAAAUAAGAUGUACUCCCAUCGGAUUUCUUCUAUAAUCCGCAUCUUUCAAAUGUCAAACAACCUCUUUACAUUUUAAGCCCUAUCAUCCAACUAGAGUUGUUGUUUCAAUUGCUUUCUUGAGUAGUCAAUGCUAGGUGAUCUUGGUCGAUUUUAAUAGGCACUUGAUUUGGGUGAUCUUGGUCUCUCUUUCCAUCUACCUUUCCAUGAGUAGGAAUCUUAUUUGUUUCCUAUCGAAUUGGCACACAAAAAAUGAGCUAAAUAAUUUAACUUGCUAUCAGCAUUAAGCUGUUCCUGAUCUCAUCUAUUUGAGGAAAAGAAGCUUGUAUUAGCACUUGAGCUACAUCCGUAUAAUCCGAAUAAUUAAUUAGAGUAACUUGCUCACAGUAUAAAACCUGUAACUUGCCUGUUAGUUCGUUCAACAUAGACAUGUAGUAUUGGUAAUAACAUGCAGCACAGUUACUCUUUUAGGCACUUGAUUUGGCAUAUAGGCCUAGAUUUUUAAACCCAUGUUGAUAACUAAGUCAAGUUGCGGGCCUUAGUUAAGCAACUCCUACACAGCUUACGAACUGACUGAAUUAGGCUUGUCUUAAAGUUAUGCGGUAUAAUUAAGAGGUUUGAGUGACCAUAACAUGCUUAGUGUUAUAGUUUAUAUUGUUUGCGUAUUUAUGCGUACAUGGUCAUGUUAUUCGUGCAAAAUGCUCUUUUUGUGUCUGGUUCGUAAAUAUUAAUGUUAACUUUCACCUACUGAAGCACGACAGAGUUCUACAAAUGGCCUUUCUUUUUUGAUGCAAUUACUUUGAUUUUCGUUCAUAUAUAUAUAUAUAUAUAUAUAACUAGGCUGGAAUACUAUUAAUAGCACCAAGCUAUUGGUGCUAUUAGUUUUUUAGCCACGGGAUUGAGAAAUUUGUGGUUAGGAUGAUGUGGGCCCCCUAGGGUUGAGUGGGUGGUUGGUUGAUAGUAUAAUGUAACGGGUAAAAAUAAUUAAAGGGUUAAAUCUAACGGUGAAAAACUCGAUAGCACCAAGCUCUUGGUGCUAUUGAUAGUAUCCAAGUCCCGACUCUAUAUAUAUAUAUAUAUAUAUAUAUAUACUAUACAUAUAUAUAUAUAAUAUAAUAUAUAUAAUAGCUAGGUUGGUAUACUAUCGGUAGCACGAAGGCCUCCGUGCUACCAAGUUAUUUUCAAUGAUACCGCUUCUAAAUCGACGAUCGGCUCUGUUAGACUUGAUCUACACUAUUGAAAGUAUUUGGAAACUAAAUUUCAUACUUUUUCGGUAUCAUUUACCUAUCAAACAAGUAGUCUAAAAAUGAACGGCUGAAAAUAAAAAUCUCAUAAAAAAUAAUGAUAGAAGACUUGAAUUUAAGAUCAGAGAUACUGAUCUUACUCUAAAUAGUAAAAAGAAUUUUCUAUAAAAAUUUUAUCAGAUUUGCAUUAUUUUACAUCGUUAAAUUUACAAAUGCAUCACAUCUACCAUUAAGUCAAUUUUGAGACCUUUUGAUUACUAGCCAAAUGAUGUCGAAAAAUUAUGAAAUUUAGUUUCCAAAUAUUUUUAAUAGUGUAGAUCAAGUCUAACACAGCCGAUUGUCGAUUUGGAAGCCGCAUCAUUGAAAACAACUUGGUUGCACGGAAGCCUUCAUGCUACCAAUAGUAUACCAGCCUAGCUCU